AUUGAACGCUGGCGGCAGGCCUAACACAUGCAAGUCGAGCGGAUGAAGGGAGCUUGCUCCUGGAUUCAGCGGCGGACGGGUGAGUAAUGCCUAGGAAUCUGCCUGGUAGUGGGGGAUAACGUCCGGAAACGGGCGCUAAUACCGCAUACGUCCUGAGGGAGAAAGUGGGGGAUCUUCGGACCUCACGCUAUCAGAUGAGCCUAGGUCGGAUUAGCUAGUUGGUGGGGUAAAGGCCUACCAAGGCGACGAUCCGUAACUGGUCUGAGAGGAUGAUCAGUCACACUGGAACUGAGACACGGUCCAGACUCCUACGGGAGGCAGCAGUGGGGAAUAUUGGACAAUGGGCGAAAGCCUGAUCCAGCCAUGCCGCGUGUGUGAAGAAGGUCUUUGGAUUGUAAAGCACUUUAAGUUGGGAGGAAGGGCAGUAAGUUAAUACCUUGCUGUUUUGACGUUACCAACAGAAUAAGCACCGGCUAACUUCGU
RNAcentral lists this ribosomal RNA (483 nucleotides) under uncultured bacterium. Its description in RNAcentral is "partial 16S ribosomal RNA". It matches the Rfam family "Bacterial small subunit ribosomal RNA", at positions 30 to 506 of the family's 1533-position model. The record is from RNAcentral.